Molecule: ribosomal RNA, 460 nt
Filed under: uncultured Sphingobacteriales bacterium
Lineage: Bacteria; Pseudomonadati; Bacteroidota; Sphingobacteriia; Sphingobacteriales
Description: bacterial SSU rRNA
Rfam family: Bacterial small subunit ribosomal RNA
Source: RNAcentral
CCUACGGGGGGCUGCAGUAAGGAAUAUUGGUCAAUGGAGGAAACUCUGAACCAGCCAUCCCGCGUGUAGGAAGAAGGCCCUCUGGGUUGUAAACUACUUUUAUCUGGGAAGAAAAGCCUGUAUUUAUGCGGGUCUGACGGUACCAGAGGAAUAAGCACCGGCUAACUCCGUGCCAGCAGCCGCGGUAAUACGGAGGGUGCAAGCGUUAUCCGGAAUUACUGGGUUUAAAGGGUGCGUAGGCGGCGCUGUAAGUCAGGGGUGAAAGGUUCCGGCUCAACCGGAGAAUUGCCUUUGAUACUGCAGUGCUAGGAUUGGGUUGAGGUUGGCGGAAUGUGACAUGUAGCGGUGAAAUGCAUAGAUAUGUCAUAGAACACCGAUUGCGAAGGCAGCCAACUGGACCUUGAUUGACGCUGAGGCACGAAAGCGUGGGGAGCAAACAGGAUUAGAUACCCCUGUAGUC